RNAcentral lists this transfer RNA (65 nucleotides) under Phrynocephalus interscapularis sogdianus. RNAcentral's name for it is "tRNA-Tyr". Lineage: Eukaryota; Metazoa; Chordata; Lepidosauria; Squamata; Agamidae. The record is from RNAcentral.
GUAAGGUGGCUGAAUAUAGGCGGUGGUUUGUAAUUCCAUUUAUGGAGCGGUAGCUCUUCUUAUCA